Molecule: ribosomal RNA, 804 nt
Filed under: uncultured Glomeromycotina
Lineage: Eukaryota; Fungi; Glomeromycota
Description: SSU rRNA
Rfam family: Eukaryotic small subunit ribosomal RNA
Source: RNAcentral
UCAACUUUCGAUGGUAGGAUAGAGGCCUACCAUGGUGGUAACGGGUAACGGGGUGUUAGGGCACGACACCGGAGAGGGAGCCUGAGAAACGGCUACCACAUCCAAGGAUGGCAGCAGGCGCGCAAAUUACCCAAUCCCGACACGGGGAGGUAGUGACAAUAAAUAACAAUACGGGGCUCAUUUGGGUCUCGUAAUUGGAAUGAGUACAAUUUAAAUCCCUUAACGAGGAACAAUUGGAGGGCAAGUCUGGUGCCAGCAGCCGCGGUAAUUCCAGCUCCAAUAGCGUAUAUUAAAGUUGUUGCAGUUAAAAAGCUCGUAGUUGAAUUUCGGGAUUGACGUGAUGGUCGUGCCUUAAGGGGUAUGAACUGUUGCUGUUGAUUUCUCACCUUCUGGAGAAACUUGAUGUCCUUAAUUGGGUGUCUUGCGGAUCCAGGACCUUUACCUUGAAAAAAUUAGAGUGUUUAAAGCAGGCAUUUUGCUCGAAUACAUUAGCAUGGAAUAAUAGAAUAGGACGGCAUGGUUCUAUUUUGUUGGUUUCUAGGAUCACCGUAAUGAUUAAUAGGGAUAGUUGGGGGCAUUAGUAUUCAAUUGUCAGAGGUGAAAUUCUUGGAUUUAUUGAAGACUAACUACUGCGAAAGCAUUUGCCAAGGAUGUUUUCAUUAAUCAAGAACGAAAGUUAGGGGAUCGAAGACGAUCAGAUACCGUCGUAGUCUUAACCAUAAACUAUGCCGACUAGGAAUCAGACGAUGUUAAUUUUUUAAUGACUCGUUUGGCACCUUACGGGAAACCAAAGUGUUUGGGUCC